AACGAACGCUGGCGGCAUGCCUAACACAUGCAAGUCGAACGAGACCUUCGGGUCUAGUGGCGCACGGGUGCGUAACGCAUGGGAACCUGCCCUUAGGUUCGGAAUAACUCCCCGAAAGGGGUGCUAAUACCGGAUAAUGUCUUCGGACCAAAGAUUUAUCGCCUUUGGAUGGGCCCGCGUUGGAUUAGCUAGUUGGUAGGGUAAAAGCCUACCAAGGCGACGAUCCAUAGCUGGUCUGAGAGGAUGAUCAGCCACACUGGGACUGAGACACGGCCCAGACCCCUAGGGGAGGCAGCAGGGGGGAAUAUGGGAAAAGGGGCGAAAGCCGAACCCAGCAAUGCCCGGGGAGGGAUGAAGGCCUUAGGGUUGUAAAGCUUUUUUCCCCGGGAUGAUAAUGAAAGUACCGGGAGAAUAAGCCCCGGCUAACCCCGG
This 432-nucleotide ribosomal RNA is filed under the name uncultured bacterium. RNAcentral describes it as "partial 16S ribosomal RNA". It matches the Rfam family "Bacterial small subunit ribosomal RNA", at positions 29 to 506 of the family's 1533-position model. The record is from RNAcentral.